Molecule: ribosomal RNA, 440 nt
Filed under: uncultured bacterium
Lineage: Bacteria
Description: partial 16S ribosomal RNA
Rfam family: Bacterial small subunit ribosomal RNA
Source: RNAcentral
CCUACGGGUGGCUGCAGUGGGGGAUAUUGCACAAUGGGGGAAACCCUGAUGCAGCGACGCCGCGUGUGGGAAGACGGUCCUCUGGAUUGUAAACCACUGUCCCCAGGGAGGAAGAUGACGGUACCUGGGUGGGAAGCUCCGGCUAACUACGUGCGAGCAGCCGCGGUACUAGGUAGGGGGCGAGGGUUGUCCGGUAUUACGGGGUGAAACGGGAGCGUAGGGGGGGCUGCAAGGUGGGUGUAAAAGCAACCGGCUCAACCGGUAGCAGCACUCAAAACUGCCGUUCUUGAGUGAAGUAGAGGCAGGCGGAAUGCCUAGUGUAGCGGUGAAAUGCGUAGAUAUUAGGAGGAACACCAGUGGCGAAGGCGGCCUGCUGGGCUUUUACUGACGCUGAGGCUCGAAAGUGUGGGGAGCAAACAGGAUUAGAUACCCGUGUAGUC